GGGAGAACCAGCUAGCUCUGGGUU
This 24-nucleotide small nuclear RNA is filed under the name Arabidopsis thaliana (thale cress). RNAcentral describes it as "snRNA_12812". The record is from RNAcentral. Lineage: Eukaryota; Viridiplantae; Streptophyta; Magnoliopsida; Brassicales; Brassicaceae.